This 75-nucleotide transfer RNA is filed under the name Deltaproteobacteria bacterium. Its description in RNAcentral is "tRNA-Thr". It matches the Rfam family "tRNA". Rfam says of the family: Transfer RNA (tRNA) molecules are approximately 80 nucleotides in length. Lineage: Bacteria; Pseudomonadati; Myxococcota; Myxococcia. The record is from RNAcentral.
GCCAGCGUAGCUCAGUGGUAGAGCAGCUGAUUCGUAAUCAGCAGGUCAAGGGUUCAACCCCCUUCGCUGGCUUCA